UACAGAGGGGGCAAGCGUUGUUCGGAAUUACUGGGCGUAAAGGGCGCGUAGGCGGCCGCCUAAGUCAGACGUGAAAUCCCUCGGCUCAACCGGGGAACUGCGUCUGAUACUGGAUGGCUUGAGUUCGGGAGAGGGAUGCGGAAUUCCAGGUGUAGCGGUGAAAUGCGUAGAUGUCUGGAGGAACACCGGUGGCGAAGGCGGCAUCCUGGACCGAAACUGACGCUGAGGAGCGAAAGCCAGGGGAGCAAACGGG
This 253-nucleotide ribosomal RNA is filed under the name uncultured bacterium. Its description in RNAcentral is "partial 16S ribosomal RNA". It matches the Rfam family "Bacterial small subunit ribosomal RNA", at positions 524 to 776 of the family's 1533-position model. The record is from RNAcentral.